This 45-nucleotide non-coding RNA is filed under the name Schistosoma margrebowiei. Lineage: Eukaryota; Metazoa; Platyhelminthes; Trematoda; Strigeidida; Schistosomatidae. The record is from RNAcentral.
ACCUAACUGAAGUGUCCCAAAUAGAAUGAAACGCGCGUCCUGGGU